RNAcentral lists this ribosomal RNA (619 nucleotides) under Salmonella enterica subsp. enterica serovar Infantis. Its description in RNAcentral is "partial 23S ribosomal RNA". The record is from RNAcentral. Lineage: Bacteria; Pseudomonadati; Pseudomonadota; Gammaproteobacteria; Enterobacterales; Enterobacteriaceae.
GGGUGAGGGUGACUGCGUACCUUUUGUAUAAUGGGUCAGCGACUUAUAUUCUGUAGCAAGGUUAACCGAAUAGGGGAGCCGGAGGGAAACCGAGUCUUAAYYGGGCGUUAAGUUGCAGGGUAUAGACCCGAAACCCGGUGAUCUAGCCAUGGGCAGGUUGAAGGUUGGGUAACACUAACUGGAGGACCGAACCGACUAAUGUUGAAAAAUUAGCGGAUGACCUGUGGCUGGGGGUGAAAGGCCAAUCAAACCGGGAGAUAGCUGGUUCUCCCCGAAAGCUAUUUAGGUAGCGCCUCGUGAAUUCAUCUCCGGGGGUAGAGCACUGUUUCGGCUAGGGGGCCAUCCCGGCUUACCAACCCGAUGCAAACUGCGAAUACCGGAGAAUGUUAUCACGGGAGACACACGGCGGGUGCUAACGUCCGUCGUGAAGAGGGAAACAACCCAGACCGCCAGCUAAGGUCCCAAAGUCAUGGUUAAGUGGGAAACGAUGUGGGAAGGCCCAGACAGCCAGGAUGUUGGCUUAGAAGCAGCCAUCAUUUAAAGAAAGCGUAAUAGCUCACUGGUCGAGUCGGCCUGCGCGGAAGAUGUAACGGGGCUAAACCAUGCACCGAAGCUGCGG